RNAcentral lists this ribosomal RNA (1347 nucleotides) under Anoplistes forticornis. RNAcentral's name for it is "partial large subunit ribosomal RNA". It matches the Rfam family "Eukaryotic large subunit ribosomal RNA", at positions 71 to 1112 of the family's 3401-position model. The record is from RNAcentral. Lineage: Eukaryota; Metazoa; Arthropoda; Insecta; Coleoptera; Cerambycidae.
AGGAUUCCCCAGUAGCUGCGAGCGAACAGGGAAGAGCCCAGCACCGAAUCCCGCGGCCGAUAUCGGACGCCGGGAAAUGUGGUGUUAGGGAGGGUCCGUUUAUCCCGAGGUCGUGCGGUGCGUCCAAGUCCUUCUUGAACGGGGCCACAGCCCAUAGAGGGUGCCAGGCCCGUAGCGACCGCUGCCGAUCGCGGGAGGAUCUCUCCUCAGAGUCGGGUUGCUUGAGAGUGCAGCCCUAAGUGGGUGGUAAACUCCAUCUAAGGCUAAAUAUGACCACGAGACCGAUAGCGAACAAGUACCGUGAGGGAAAGUUGAAAAGCACUUUGAAGAGAGAGUUCAAGAGUACGUGAAACCGUUCAGGGGUAAACCUGAGAAGCCCGAAAGGUCGAAAGGGGAAAUUCAUUCGCGUUUCGGCCGUCGAAGUGGGAUGGUCGAGUGACGGAUGGCGUACGCGUCGUCCGCGCCUUCCGUUCUUCGAAUCGGCGUCGAACGCGUGCACUUUUCCCCUAGUAGGACGUCGCGAUCCGUUGGGUGUCGGUCUACGGUUCGCGGUGGUGCCCGUGUGGUCGCUUCGCGGCGUAUCACACGGACCCGCGGUGUCCCGGCCGACUCGCUCGACGGUAUACAGAUGGCGCGGGGUCGCUGCUAAACAUUCAGUUAGCGUUCGAUCCGUGGCAAGCGCGUUCGGAGCGAUGGCGAUCGGACCUGGUGCCGGUCCCGUCCACGAACGACUGUUGGCUACGGUCUAUUCUCUCGAACAGACCUCGUUCGAAACGCCGAUCUGCGACGCUAUAGCUUUGGGUACUUUCAGGACCCGUCUUGAAACACGGACCAAGGAGUCUAGCAUGUGCGCGAGUCAUUGGGACAUAACUAAACCUAAAGGCGUAAUGAAAGUGAAGGUCCGCCUUGCGCGGAUCGAGGGAGGAUGGGCGGCGUCCGCCUUCAAAAGCGACCGCUCCGCACUCCCGGGGCGUCUCGUUCUCAUCGCGAGAAGAGGCGCACCAAGAGCGUACACGCUGGGACCCGAAAGAUGGUGAACUAUGCCUGGUCAGGACGAAGUCAGGGGAAACCCUGAUGGAGGUCCGUAGCGAUUCUGACGUGCAAAUCGAUCGUCGGAACUGGGUAUAGGGGCGAAAGACUAAUCGAACCAUCUAGUAGCUGGUUCCCUCCGAAGUUUCCCUCAGGAUAGCUGGCGCUCGUAGCGCACGAGUUUCAUCCGGUAAAGCGAAUGAUUAGAGGCAUUGGGGUCGAAACGACCUCAACCUAUUCUCAAACUUUAAAUGGGUGAGAUCUCCGGCUUGCUCGAAUAGCGCGUUCGCGCGCCCCCCUGUGAAGCCGGAGACUCGA